RNAcentral lists this long non-coding RNA (450 nucleotides) under Astyanax mexicanus (Mexican tetra). RNAcentral describes it as "lncRNA (ENSAMXG00005021502.1)". The record is from RNAcentral. Lineage: Eukaryota; Metazoa; Chordata; Actinopteri; Characiformes; Acestrorhamphidae.
AUGUGUGGGUGUGUGUGUGUGUUGUGUUGUGUGUUUGCAGAAAGAAAAAGAGAGCACACACUCUGCAAAAGCAGCUCGGUGCAUCAGAAGUGUCUUCUGUAAUGCCAGCUCGCCCACAGAACUGAAAGAAUUACGAACGAAACGUGUGGAAAAAGCUCGCCUGCUGAUGUGAGCAAGGGGAAUGAGUCGAAGAUGCAAUUUUGCACCUGCGUCAAUGACGACCGCAGAGACAUACGGUGGAGAAGGGGACGCAGAUGAGCUCUGACCCUAAACGGUCAUUAACGGGUUCUCAGAAUAUUCAGCUCGGGAAGAAACAGGGAAGAGCAGCGCUGCCCUCUCGUGGUCAGAGCCGGGCACUGCACCUCUCGAGUUCAGGCUGCACCUGAGGCAGUUGGCGGCUUUUGCACGGAACAUGACGCCAUCGUGGGUCCUUUCAUCUGGCCAGAGAGA